CAUUCACAGUGCGUUUGAUAAGUUGACAUGGGACAGGAAUUCUUUUUCACUGUUGUGUCAAUUUAUCAAACCAUAUGUGGAUAUC
Non-coding RNA from Ophiophagus hannah (king cobra), 85 nucleotides. The record is from Rfam. Lineage: Eukaryota; Metazoa; Chordata; Lepidosauria; Squamata; Elapidae.